Molecule: non-coding RNA, 45 nt
Organism: Schistosoma curassoni
Lineage: Eukaryota; Metazoa; Platyhelminthes; Trematoda; Strigeidida; Schistosomatidae
Source: Rfam
AUCCAACUGACGAAUCCCAAACAAGAUGAAAUGCUCGUCCUCGAU